RNAcentral lists this ribosomal RNA (617 nucleotides) under Bacillus amyloliquefaciens. RNAcentral's name for it is "bacterial SSU rRNA". It matches the Rfam family "Bacterial small subunit ribosomal RNA", at positions 397 to 1004 of the family's 1533-position model. Lineage: Bacteria; Bacillati; Bacillota; Bacilli; Caryophanales; Bacillaceae. The record is from RNAcentral.
CCGCGUGAGUGAUGAAGGUUUUCGGAUCGUAAAGCUCUGUUGUUAGGGAAGAACAAGUGCCGUUCAAAUAGGGCGGCACUUUGACGGUACCUAACCAGAAAGCCACGGCUAACUACGUGCCAGCAGCCGCGGUAAUACGUAGGUGGCAAGCGUUGUCCGGAAUUAUUGGGCGUAAAGGGCUCGCAGGCGGUUUCUUAAGUCUGAUGUGAAAGCCCCCGGCUCAACCGGGGAGGGUCAUUGGAAACUGGGGAACUUGAGUGCAGAAGAGGAGAGUGGAAUUCCACGUGUAGCGGUGAAAUGCGUAGAGAUGUGGAGGAACACCAGUGGCGAAGGCGACUCUCUGGUCUGUAACUGACGCUGAGGAGCGAAAGCGUGGGGAGCGAACAGGAUUAGAUACCCUGGUAGUCCACGCCGUAAACGAUGAGUGCUAAGUGUUAGGGGGUUUCCGCCCCUUAGUGCUGCAGCUAACGCAUUAAGCACUCCGCCUGGGGAGUACGGUCGCAAGACUGAAACUCAAAGGAAUUGACGGGGGCCCGCACAAGCGGUGGAGCAUGUGGUUUAAUUCGAAGCAACGCGAAGAACCUUACCAGGUCUUGACAUCCUCUGACAAUCCUAGA